CUUAUAAGCGUUGGCGAAGGCGAAGCCCCCUCCAAACACAGUGCCCGACCCCGAGCCCUCAUUCUUGCCCUAGCUACUCUCCGAGCCCCCUCAUUCUCCUCUCCGGCGCUGCCCUAGCUCUCGUCUUCCUCCUCUCCGGCGCUGCUUUAGCCCCAGUCUUCCUCCUCUCCGGCAUGGACCGUCCGACCCCAACCUCUUCUCCUCCUCCCUCCUCUCCGGUGUCGACCGACCAACCCCAACCCUCUCUGCCCGAAAUAUUUUUCUCCUCCUUCCUCCUCUCCCUC
RNAcentral lists this long non-coding RNA (284 nucleotides) under Phoenix dactylifera (date palm). Its description in RNAcentral is "long non-coding RNA (PDAC_LNC000901)". The record is from RNAcentral. Lineage: Eukaryota; Viridiplantae; Streptophyta; Magnoliopsida; Arecales; Arecaceae.